GCCGACGUAGCUCAGUUGGUUAGAGCACCAGAUUGUGGAUCUGGGGGUCGCAGGUUCGAAUCCCGCCGUCGGUA
Molecule: transfer RNA, 74 nt
Filed under: Bacteroidota bacterium
Lineage: Bacteria; Pseudomonadati; Bacteroidota
Also listed under: 2 other names
Description: tRNA-His
Rfam family: tRNA
About the family: Transfer RNA (tRNA) molecules are approximately 80 nucleotides in length.
Source: RNAcentral